CAAAGGGAUCAGCGGAUGGCCCCAGCCCCGAGGCCACACCGCCCACCUCCGUGCGGGAGCAGGUGACACGGCCCAGUUUCGACAGACCAAGGCCUGUGUAUGACAACAUACCCGAGCCCCGGGGACCUAUGGGAGCCAAAAAGGUGGGUGUGCUCCAAAGGGAUCUCCAUGA
This 172-nucleotide long non-coding RNA is filed under the name Ictidomys tridecemlineatus (thirteen-lined ground squirrel). RNAcentral's name for it is "lncRNA (ENSSTOG00000034945.1)". Lineage: Eukaryota; Metazoa; Chordata; Mammalia; Rodentia; Sciuridae. The record is from RNAcentral.